RNAcentral lists this ribosomal RNA (300 nucleotides) under uncultured Oleiphilaceae bacterium. RNAcentral's name for it is "bacterial SSU rRNA". It matches the Rfam family "Bacterial small subunit ribosomal RNA", at positions 115 to 424 of the family's 1533-position model. The record is from RNAcentral. Lineage: Bacteria; Pseudomonadati; Pseudomonadota; Gammaproteobacteria; Oceanospirillales; Oleiphilaceae.
GCGUAGAUAACUGCCCAGUAGUGGGGGAUAGCCCGGGGAAACCCGGAUUAAUACCGCAUACGCUCUACGGAGGAAAGGGGGCUUCGGCUCUCGCUAUUGGAUGUGUCUGCGUGGGAUUAGCUAGUUGGUGAGGUAAGGGCUCACCAAGGCGACGAUCUCUAGCUGGUCUGAGAGGAUGAUCAGCCACACUGGAACUGAGACACGGUCCAGACUCCUACGGGAGGCAGCAGUGGGGAAUAUUGCACAAUGGGCGCAAGCCUGAUGCAGCCAUACCGCGUGUGUGAAGAAGGCUCUAGGGUC